AUUGAACGCUGGCGGCAUGCUUUACACAUGCAAGUCGAACGGCAGCGUGGGGCAACCUGGCGGCGAGUGGCGAACGGGUGAGUAAUACAUCGGAACGUACCCAGAAGUGGGGGAUAACGUAGCGAAAGUUACGCUAAUACCGCAUACGUUCUACGGAAGAAAGUGGGGGAUCUUCGGACCUCAUGCUUUUGGAGCGGCCGAUGUCUGAUUAGCUAGUUGGUGAGGUAAAGGCUCACCAAGGCGACGAUCAGUAGCUGGUCUGAGAGGACGACCAGCCACACUGGGACUGAGACACGGCCCAGACUCCUACGGGAGGCAGCAGUGGGGAAUUUUGGACAAUGGGCGCAAGCCUGAUCCAGCAAUGCCGCGUGAGUGAAGAAGGCCUUCGGGUUGUAAAGCUCUUUUGUCAGGGAAGAAACGGCUGGGGCUAAUAUCCCCGGCUAAUGACGGUACCUGAAGAAUAAGCACCGGCUAACUACGUGCCAGCCGCCGCGGUAA
RNAcentral lists this ribosomal RNA (498 nucleotides) under uncultured bacterium. RNAcentral describes it as "partial 16S ribosomal RNA". It matches the Rfam family "Bacterial small subunit ribosomal RNA", at positions 30 to 523 of the family's 1533-position model. The record is from RNAcentral.